AAGACUAUAUUUUCAGGGAUCAUUUCUAUAGUUACUAACUAGGAAAUGUGAUUGAAAAGUGAUACGUCUCUCUAAUCACGAUGACGAGUCACGAUGUGUUUUUUCUGAGUGUGAAUCGGAUUAUAGGUAACACUUCAUAUGUAGACUUUUAUUAUUGAUGAACAUUCUUCAUUUCUUAUGAAACAUUAGAGGAAGAGCACAUGUCCAGAGUGAU
Small nucleolar RNA from Clarias gariepinus (North African catfish), 214 nucleotides. RefSeq annotates it as small nucleolar RNA U3. Lineage: Eukaryota; Metazoa; Chordata; Actinopteri; Siluriformes; Clariidae. The record is from RefSeq and is a predicted model, not a curated record. The transcript has a single exon.